GACGAACGCUGGCGGCGUGCUUAACACAUGCAAGUCGAGCGGUAAGGCCCUUUCGGGGUACACGAGCGGCGAACGGGUGAGUAACACGUGGGUGACCUGCCCUCAGCUCUGGGAUAAGCCCGGGAAACUGGGUCUAAUACUGGAUAUGACUCCAUGACGCAUGUUGUGGGGUGGAAAGCCUUGUGCGGCUGAGGAUGGGCCCGCGGCCUAUCAGCUUGGUUGGUGGGGGAUGGCCUACCAAGGCGACGACGGGUAGCCGGCCUGAGAGGGCGACCGGCCACACUGGGACUGAGACACGGCCCAGACUCCUACGGGAGGCAGCAGUGGGGAAUCUUGCGCAAUGGGCGAAAGCCUGACGCAGCGACGCCGCGUGAGGGA
This 378-nucleotide ribosomal RNA is filed under the name uncultured bacterium. RNAcentral describes it as "bacterial SSU rRNA". It matches the Rfam family "Bacterial small subunit ribosomal RNA", at positions 28 to 408 of the family's 1533-position model. The record is from RNAcentral.